This 29-nucleotide non-coding RNA is filed under the name Mus musculus (house mouse). Lineage: Eukaryota; Metazoa; Chordata; Mammalia; Rodentia; Muridae. The record is from RNAcentral.
UGAGAUAAAGCCCAAUGGCACCUGUGAGC